CUAAGAACAAGGAAAGGCUAACAUAGUCCGAAAAUAAAAUACUAAGACAAUCUGAGUAAUAAGAAGGAGAAAUGUAGGGCUGCGAACGCCAAGAAGCUACCUAGCCAACUCUGGAGACCUGCUGGAAGACUGAUCAGCACUCACUAUCACGUCCCGAGACUCAUGAAUCUACACACAUGGUGCAGGGAGUAAUGUGAGUACGCCAACUCAGUAAGUAUUAAAAGUAAAAGAAGCUAAGCAGUAAGAAAACAUGUAAUUCCACGUCAUAGAACUACAACAAAAUAGUAUAUGUCCAGAACAAUACAGUAAAUCAAUUAACUCGUAAAACAACUCGGUUCAGUAAAACCCUUUUAAAACAUCUUUCAAUAGUUUCAAACGAGUGAUGAAAACAGUGAGUAAAAGGAUAGAAAGUAAAUGGCCCCUCGGCCAAAACAUGUAUCAAAAACUGCCCAUCGGGCAAAAUAUCAACAAAACCAGCCCCUCGGGCAACAACAUGAAACAACAAGAGCCCCUCGGGCAAUAUCAUAUCACUCACACUGGGACACGCACUCACUGGGGGUGUUCAGACUCUAGAAGGGCUCCUACAGCCCAAGCGCUAUCACAAGCCAUCACGUGGCAUAGCAAAUCAGGCCCUCGGCCUCUCAUAUAUCACAAAUCAGUACAACAUGCUAUGACGCACAGCCCGAUCCCAUAAUAUCCUCACAACACAGGCCCUCGGACUCACUCAGUCAGAAAUCUCUCAAGCCACUCGGGCAAUAGUAAAACAUGAUGCUCAGCCCAAAAUAUCAUUUAAAUUAUCAAAAUGGAGUAAGUACGGCUGAGUUAUAAAAACAGUAGAAUACAACAUGACUGAGUUUAGAUAUUAAGUAAAACCAUUAAGGAAUAGUAGUAAAAAGCCCCUAAGGGUCCAAAACAGUUGGCAUGAGGCCCAGAUAUGGCAUUCAAUCCAAAACAUGGAAAUACUUUCCAAAACACAAUGAUAUCAAAUAGUUUUCAAUCAAAUACACGACUUAACAGUCGUACCGGACAGACCAAGCCAGAAUCCCCAAUGGUGCACGACCCCACACUCAUCAUCUAGCGUGUGCAUCACCUCAAAGUAGCACAACGAUGUGAAAUCUGGGGUUUCAUACCCUUAGGACAAUAUUUACAAUCAUUACUAACCUCGAUCCGGUCCAAACUCUAGCCCGCAAUGCCUUUGUCUCUCUAUUUGUUCUCUAAAUGCUCCAAAUCUAACCAAAAUCAGUAUCAUACCAUAAAUACGCGCUAAAGGAACAAAGCCCAAGCGAAAUAAUCAAAUUAACUCAAAAAUCCUAAAAUUGGUCAAACCCGACCCCAGGCCCACAUCUCGGAAUCCGAUAAAAAUUACAUCAAUAGAAUCCUUAUUCUCCCACGAGUCCAUACAUACUAAGAACAUCAAAAUCGGAACUCAAAUGUCCCCUUAAAUCCCCAAUUUACACUCUCUAAUUUCAACCCCUAAUUCCCCAAUUUUAGGCUUUAAAUCCCACUAAUUUCAUGUCUAAAUAGUUAGAAAUCAUCAUAGAAUUGAGUAUUGAGUUCAAAAACCUUAUCUCCAAGUGUUUCGCUUCGAUUCCAUCUCCAAUACCUCUCAAAAAGCUUCAAAGCCGUUCAAAAAUGGUGAGAAAUGGGCUAAUAAUCGCGAAGAUGAGUUUUUAUACAUUCUACCCAGGUGCUCUCUUCAUCGCGAACGCGACCGUCCUCUCGCGUUCGCGUAGGCCAAUAUCAGACUUCCUCUGCUUAACCAUUUGUGAAUGCGACAACUUCUUUGCGAAUGCGAUGCUCAACCAGCUCACUCCUUCGCGAACGCAGACCUCGCCUCGUGAACACGUAGACCAAAGACCUGGGUUCCCCAACUGCCUCACUCCUCUUCGCAAAUGCGACCCCACUCACGCGUCCGCGAUGCACAUGAUGCCUUAACCUUCGCGUUUGCGUCCUCUCCUUUGUGAACGCGUAGAACAAAAUUCACUACCACAGAAGACACUCUUUGCGAACGCGAGACACCCUUCGCAAACAUGAUUAACAAAAUCUCUGCAACAGAAAACCAGCAAAAUCUGCUAACUCCUCAAGUCCAAAAUGACCUGUUGAGCAUCCGAAACACACCCGAGGUCCUUGGGACCUCAACCAAAUAUGCAACACAUCCCAUAACAUCAUUCAAACUUGUUCCAACCUUCGGAACACAUAAAACAACAUCAAAACAUCAAAUCACCCUCAAAUUUAAGCAUAAGGAUUCUAGAACUUCCGAAUUCCGCAAACGUUCAAAAUGUCUGUCAAACAUCACUUGAAUAACCUGAAAUUUUGCACACACGUCAAAAAUGACACAACAGACCUACUCUAAUUUUCAGACUUCCAUUCUAACCCCGAUAUCAAAAUUUCCACUGUCAACCGAAAAAUGCCAAAUUUUCAAUUUUGCUAAUUCAAGCCUAAAUCUACCACGGACCUCCAAAAUACAUUCCAGUUAUGCUCCUAAGUCUCAAAUCACCUAACGAAGCUAUCCGAACCAUCGAAAUUCACAUCCGAGGCCUUUUUCAUAUAAGUCAAAAUCCGGUUGACUCUUCCAUCUUACGCUUACUCAAAAGAGACUAAGUGUCUCAUUUCUCUAUAAAAACCACUCCAAACCUGAACCAACCACCCCAAUACCACAAAAUACAGCUGAACAAGACAUAAGGAAGAAGCAAUGGGGGAAACGAAGCGGUAACUCAUGAAACAACCGGCCGGGUCGUUACAUCCUCCCCCUCUUAAACAAACAUUCGUCCUCGAAUGAGUCAACAAACAUACCUAAAGCCUCAAAUAGGUGAGGAUAUCUACUCUGCAUCUCCCGCUCAGUCUCCCAGGUAGCCUCCUCCACGGGCCGACCUCUCCACUGCACUUUCACUGAAGUUAUAUUCUUUGACCUCAACUUUCGGACCUGCCACUCCAAAAUAGCAACUGGCUCCACAUCAUAAGUCAAAUCACCAUCUAACUGAAUCGUGCUGAAAUCCAAAACAUGAGACGGAUCGCCAAUAUACUUUCGGAGCAUAGAAACAUGAAAUACCAGAUGCACACUUAACAAGCUGGGUGGCAAAGCAAGCGCAUAAGCCACCUCCCCAAUCCUCCGAAGUACCUUAAAAGGACCAAUGAACCGGGGACUCAACUUACCCCUCUUCCCAAAUCUCAUAACACCCUUCAUGGGUGAAACCUUCAAUAGAACAUUCUCCCCAAGAAUGUAAGACACAUCACAGACCUUCCUGUCAGCAUAACUCUUUUUUCUUGACUGCACUGUACGAAGCCGCUCCUGAAUCACCGUCACCUUGUCUGAAGCAUCCUGCACCAAGUCUGUACCCAAAAUCCUAGCCUCACUCAGAUCAAACCAACCAACCAGAGAUCUACACCGCCUCCCAUACAAAGCCUCAUAUGGAGUCAUCUGAAUACUCGACUGGUAACUGUUGUUGUAAGCAAAUUCUGCGAGCGGUAGAAACUGAUCCCAUGACCCUCCAAAAUCAAUGACACAAGCACACAACAUGUCCUCUAAUAUCUGAAUAGUUCGCUCGGACUGCCCGUCCGUCUGAGGUGAAAAGUUGUGCUCAACUCAACCUGAGUACCUAACUCUUGCUGCACAUCCCUCCAAAAUUGCGAAGUAAACUGAGUACCUCUAUCUGAAAUGAUGGAAACUGGAACACCAUGAAAGUGAACAAUCUAUCGAAUAUAGAUCUCUGCUAACCGCUCUGAAGAAUAGGUAGUACAAACAAGAAUGAAGUGCGCGGACUUGGUCAGCCGAUCCACAAUCACCCAAAUAGCCUCGAACUUCUUCAAAGUCCGUGGGAGUCUAACUACAAAAUCCAUGGUGAUUCUCUCCCACUUCCACUCUAGAAUAUCCAUCUGCUGAAGCAAGCCACCCGGUCUCUGAUGAUCAUAUUUCACCUACUGACAGUUGAGACACCAAGCUACAAAUCCCACAAUGUCCUUCUUCAUUCUCCUCCACCAAUAAUGCUAUCUCAGAUCCUGAUACAUCUUCGCAGUACCCGGAUGAAUGGAAUAUCGCGAGCUACGGGCCUCCUCCAGAAUCAAAUCCCGAAGCCCAUCCACAUUGGGCACACAUAUCUAGCCCUGUAUCCUCAACACCCCAUCAUCACCAAUAGUCACAUCUCCUGCAUCAUCGUGCUGAACUCUGUCCUUAAGGACAAGCAAAUGAGGAUCAUCAUACUGGUGCUCUUGAUGUAAUCAAAUAAGGAAGACCGAGAAACCACACAAGCUAAGACCCGACUAGGCUCCGAAAUAUCCAACCUCUCAAACCGAUUGGCCAAGGCCUGAACAUCAACUGCAAGAGGUCUAUCUCCAAUAGGAAUAUAUGCCAAACUGCCCAUACUCAAUGCCUUCCUACUCAAGGCAUCGACCACUACAUUGGCCUUUCCCGGAUGGUACAAGAUAGUGAUAUCAUAGUCCUUUAGCAACUCCAACCACCUCCGCUGCCUCAAAUUGAGAUCCUUCUACUUAAACAAGUGCUGGAGGCUGCGAUGAUCAGUAAACACCUCACAAAACAUGCCAUACAGGUAUGCCUCCAAAUCUUCAAUGCGUGAACAAUGGAAGCCAACUCUAGAUAUCCACACAUUUUCACCUCGAUCGAACGACAACGGGAUACUAUUUCGAUAAGUUCAAAAUAACACCCUUUAAGGCCAAGGACCUUCUCCAAAAUGAAGAGUUCGACCUCGAUCAAAUGACGACGGGUUACUAUUUCGAUAAGUUUUGAAUAACACCCUUUAAGGCCAAGGGCCUUUCCCAAAGUGAAGAGUUUAACCUUGAGCGAACGAUGACGAGUUACUAUUUGGAUAAAUUCGAAAUAACACCCUUUGAAGCCAAGGGCCUUCGCCAAAAUGUAGAGUUCGACCUCGAUCGAACAACGACGGGUUACUAUUUCGAUAAGUUCGAAAUAACACCCUUUAAGUCCAAGGAUCUUCGCAAAGUGAAUUGUUCGACCUCGAUCGAACGACGACAGGUUACUAUUUCGAUAAGUUCGAAAUAACACCCUUUAAGGAUAAGGGCCUUCGCCAAAAGGAAGAGUUUGACCUUGAUCGAACGACGAUGGGUCACUAUUUCGAUAAGUUCGAAAUAAAACCCUUUAUGCCCAAGGGCCUUUGCCAAAAGGAAGAGUUCGACCUCGAUCAAAUGACAACGGGUCACUAUUUCGAUAAGUUCGAAAUAACAUCCUUUAAGGGCAAGGGCCUUCACCAAAAUGAAGAGUUCGACCUCGAUCGAACAACGAUGGGUUCUAUUUUGAUAAGUUCGAAAUAACACCCUUUAAGGCCAAGGGCCUUCGCCAAAGUGAAGAGUUCGACCUCGAUCGAAUGACGACGGGUUACUAUUUCGAUAAGUUCGAAAUAACACCCUUUAAGGCCAAAGGCCUUCGCUAAAGUGAAGAUUCGACCUUGAUCAAACAACGAUGGGUUACUAUUUCGAUAAGUUCGAAAUAACACCCUUUAGGGCCAAAGACCAUCAAAAAGUGCAAAAAGACCGAGACCCACUGGGCGGGAAUCCAUCUCGCAUCGAAAUCACGCGCAACAUAAACAAGGGUAGAAUACAAGACAAAUAACAGUGAAAAACUCUUCUUUAUACAAAGUCUCCGCGCAAAUGGUAGCGGAUUACAUAAGACCCAAGUUAACAAUAUAUAAAAAAGGAGGGGCAACAAACAACAAAGAAAAAAAACAACGAUAAUCGACUACGAACGAAAAACGGGGAAGAAAACAUCAAAUGGAAAACAGAUCAAUGUCACUAUCCCUCUACUCUACAUAAUCAUCGCCACCCUCUCCAAUACCAUCUCCGGGAAGUUCUCCUUCGACGUUUGUGCCCCCAUUGGCUUCUGGUGUCACCGCAUCAUAUCCACAAUUGACGCGAGCCUCCCGCACUUUCACUCUCGCCUCUUCAUAGGCAUCUUUAGUCACAUUCCCCCCCUCCUACAAACUCUUGUAUAUAUCCUGCUGGGCUUCGGCGUAAACCUAAAGCUCGUGCAUGCAGCGAGGAACGGUGGUGGAGGUAGAUUCAAUCUGAGCCAACAGAUGCUAAUUUUUCGCCUCUAGUGCUGCGACCCGAUCCCCAGAACCGAGGCCUCUUAGUUAAUCUCGCUAAUGUGCUCCGCAUAUCUUGCCUCCAUAAGGGUGGCCAUCGCUCUCUUCGAUUCUUUCUCGGAUUGGAGGACGCGAAUGGUUUUCUCCAGGGCCACCACCCUCGCUGAAGCCGCGGACCAAGUACUCUCGAUGCUCUCCAACCCAACAAUCUUGUUCUCCAGCCCAGUCAAUUUCCCCAUCCAUUCCGCGCUUAGCGCCUCAACCUUGAUCAAGUUCAUAUCCAUCUCCGACUGCUGCUGUGGAUAGCCUGCAUUAAUUCUUGGUCCAUUUUCUGCAACUCCUCACCAAGAGCCCGACUACCAGGGUUUGUAUUCAGCCGCUCAUGCCUUUUGCGAUACUUGUUGCGGUAGCGACGAUAUUUCUCCAACAUCUUCAAGAAAAUCUUGGCCCGAAUGUUGGCCCUACGAAUGCUCUCCAUUUCCACCAUAUACGUCUGAAAAAUAAAAAGAUAGGUUAGAAUCCUAUCAUCAAGGAAAAGCGAAAGUAAGCAUAACAUACCCUUAAGCCCAUAGCGGCCACCUCGUCCAUCAAUUCAGCAUCGAGAAUGGUCCGAAGGGUCACAUUCUCAGAUACGGAGCAUAGCAUGCUGAACUGCGGCACUAGGUCCUCCGUGUCCCCAGGAGAUUGACAUCCGAAGGGAUCUCAAGAAUACGGGCCGAGCCUCCCACACGAACUAACGAGUGAGUAAGACCCUCCUCAAACAUCCUGACAUCAUCAGGGUCGAGGUCCGAUUCGGAUUCAUAGUCGUCGACCACCAUGGCGUUUCCUCUUUCAACAGCCGAAGAGGAAGCAUGACCAACUAUGGAGGACGUGGGUACGUCCGAAACUACAACGGUAGCCCCGAAAAUCUAACCUUCCACCACGAUAGGUUGCUGACCACCAACAACGUUGGGAAUCUCUGGUUGAGCCGAGGCGAUAACCGGUUCCGUCCCUAUGGGGGGAGCCACAAAAACCCCCUCUCCAGACCCUGUCAAAGGAGAGUCAUCUAGAUGAAUCACUGUUGGGGGUGUUGUCUCGAACUCCACUCGCCGUCUUUUUGAUGGCCACUCUUCUUCCCUAGUAGGCAAAGAUUCACCCGUCAGGCGAACAACAUGGGUUGGAACAUCGGCCUGAGAAGCGGCCCUCGCAGAGUAACCACGGACGCAGACUCAACUGAAGCAGCCCUCGACGAAGGUCGGGCAGUGGGUACCGCGAUAGGGCGAGCAGAUAAGGCUGGCUGCCGGAAAGCUAACGGAGGAGCCCUCACUCUCCGUACCCUCCCUGACACCGACAAACAUCAUGUGAGGAAUUAAAUACAAAGAUAAAAAGAGAAAAACAGUGAACAGAAAUGACAUCUUACCAGAAAGAGGCCUGUGCCCAUACUUGUCAUAGAAAGUCGCCCACAUGCGGACCCCUGCUGUAUGAGGGAGAAUAGCACUUACCCACUCGCGGAUAUUUUCGACAGGUGGAGGGGGCAAUUUCUCAGUUGCAAAAACAUAACAGGGUUUAGUACUAUAACGGAAAAUGGUCGGAUAUAUCUUCGACUAAAAGCAUGAGAAGUUCCACUUCUCAGGGAACCCCGUCGGAUCCACCACAAUGUGUUCAGUCUGCACAUAGAAAUAAUUCUCAUAAAAACGAUGGUUAGUUCUAUCAUACAUCUUCACCAUCAGACUCUUCGACCGUCGAGGACACAUGUGAAGCAUCAUGUCGCGGAUAAGCUGAGGAGCGAAGAUACUAAGCAGGUGGUAUAAGGUGAUCUCACGACCGGCGAGUUCCGCAAACUUGAGCAACAUAAGGAACAUCUUGUAUAGGUACGACGAAAGUUGGGCGGAGCAUACCUCAUAAAAGCGGUAGAAGUUUACCACUAGGAGAGGGAGAGGAAGUGUGUAUCCAAUAAGGAAGGGGUAAGCAUAAAAUACACAGUACCUACAACAGUCAAAGUGAACUAUGUCGUUUCCUUCCACCGGCCGCAUGUCGACAUAACCCGGGAUCCUCCACCUGGUUUUCAACUCUACAAUGCCUUCUUCUCUCAUAACAGAAGGAACAGGCUCCGGCUCCGCCCCGGCGCGACUGCUGAAGUCGGUCAAUUCUCUCCCAGUGCAAGGAAAAAUCUCAACUAUCAACAAGACCUCCUCGUCUUCCACUGCAUCUGCCCCUCCAGUGACCUGAGCAGCACUUUCCGGUGCUGGAAUCGUGACGGGGAGAUCGGUGCGAGAGGAAUCACCAGCCAUUUUGUCCAGAAGAUACGGCAAAAAGACAACGGAAAGAAAGGAUGAAAAUCCUCAGUUAACAAAAGGGCAAACGAAAACUUGGAAUGUCAGGAAGAAAGUAUAUUUGCAGAAUUCUUUCGCGUAAAAGGAAAAAAGUGUGUCAAUCGAAUGAUAAGUUCUUUCUAUUUAUAAGAGACAUAGAUCCCUCGAGCACGAAACCUAAGAGUCGCCAAUUGAACCUGAUAGGGCACGAAACGUUUCAGUUCCCCAGGGACGUGUGUCAUGAUGGCGGUAACCACAAAAUAAGGCUUCGAUACCAAACGACGUUUUGGUUCCGAAACAGCCGCAACGGUUCAUGGGUAUCAAGAGAACGCCGCCACCUCGCCUAAAACCCAAGUAAUGUAACUAAGGAACGAGAAGUCAGAUUUUGCUCAAACUCAUAGCAAUCAUGAUCCGUUUGCCGGGCCCGACAGAGGACGACCCCAAUAUCAUACCCUUUUUUACAAACUUCACUUAACUCUUUUAAAAUUAAUAAAAGUGAUUCGUAAAGCUUGAAAAGGAUUUUCUAAUUAGAACAUGACAAAAAUUGUGUUCAAAAGGAAAUAACUCAGAGUCGCCACCUGACAUUGAUUUCGGUGUGUCAGGUCAUCAUUUUUUUUAAAAAUGAUUUUUCCUUUAAGACACUUUGGACUCCAAAACUAAAUUCGCACCAGAGAUUUGGGUAAGGGGGUUUAUUUGACUCGGGGAGAAGGUGUUAGGCACUCCCCAAGUCUGUGAAAGUCACGGUUUCAUACUCGAUCUAGUUGGCUUUUAAAAUAUUUAAGUUGAGGUAAAAUAAAAACAGAAAAGAAAAAUAAACACGUAAGAUGCUCGAGGUCGUCCCCCUCCUAAUAAAAGAAAGAUAAAAAUAAAAUGAAAUAAGAAUAAAAGUACCACGAGUUCGCUUUCCGCCUCCAAUUAUAGAAUACUAAGGGGCAUUCCCCAGAAUAAAAAAUAUACAAAUCCUUCGGGGCAUUCCCAGGAUAAAUUUAACUAAGGGAAUGACCUCUUGCCUCAAAAUUAAACAAACAAAAUCCUAGAGUUUGCCUACCUAAACAUUAACGGCCUAAACAUGCUCCUAGCAAUUAAAAGCAACAAAGCAAGAUAAAGAACUAAGAAAAUCGAUCCAAGCUCAAAUUUUUGUAAUUCCCUUUCCAGCUCGUCCAGUACGCCUUUAUAAAGUCCAUGUUUCUAUUAAACCAACCCCUUGACCAAAUUCAAUUUUUUGUCCCGUUUAUCAAAUUGUGACUUAUUUGCCUUAAUAUUCCUAAUGCACUUCAAGUUUAACCCAAUUAAUUCAAAUUGAUCCAACACAAAAUUAACGAUAAUGCAAAAAACUACAGUGAAUCAAGGAAGCAAAAAAACACAAAACAAGACAUGAAACAUUCCAAAAACCACAAGCAAAAUAAUGAAAAAGAUCAAAGCACAUAUCAGAUGAGAGAAAAUUGAACCUCAUUGAUUGAUUUCUUUGUAUUAAACGUGACCUUGGUCGCAACAAACUCUGACAAACCAAAUUUGGCCGAAAAGCGCAAUAGUAGCAGGAGCUCGGACCGCGAAUUCCUUUGACAGACCUCUUCGACUCAAACUCAGGAUCCUGAGCAGCUAUGUUGGCGCUGAGAAUACUCUAAUCACUAGUUAUAAAAUUAGCUAAAAUUGGCUAUAACCUUUUGACCACUUAAAAUUCAGCAGACUCCCAUAAAUUUUUAAUAGAAGACAAAACCCUCUUGGCUCUUGUUUGAGAACUAGGUGAAGAAGUGAGAAAAGCAAUAGCCACAAAAAUAGUAAGUAAAAAGAGACGUUUGGCUAGCUUCUCUAUCUCUCUCGUCUGGAUGUGCACAAAUCCGGCGUCGCUACCGCAACGAGUAACACCAGAAUAGCGCUAAUGGGAAGCAAAGAUCAAAGGGUUGCCAAAGUAGGCAUGUCCGGCCAGAUCUAGUUUCGUCCUGUGUGUGUGUGUGUGUUUGAGAAUGAGGGGAGAUCACAACUGUUGGGAGUGGGUAGAGACGGGGUUGUCGUUGGCGGCUGUAUAUUCUGGAGAAGAUGACUGUGUGUGGCGGGUUAGAGGCUGGUGGCGGAGAGGUCUAACGAUGGUUCUCUUUUUAAAAUGGGGUGGUGGAAUUGGUCGGCGGUGUGGAGCUGGGUAGUGUCCAGGCUGCUGAUGGCUUGGAGAUGUGAAGAAGGUGGGAGAUUAGGGAGGGACAGCUGGUUUCUCGUUAGGGCUUUCUAGGGUUU
This 10573-nucleotide long non-coding RNA is filed under the name Nicotiana tabacum (common tobacco). RNAcentral describes it as "long non-coding RNA (NTAB_LNC002831)". Lineage: Eukaryota; Viridiplantae; Streptophyta; Magnoliopsida; Solanales; Solanaceae. The record is from RNAcentral.